RNAcentral lists this ribosomal RNA (2830 nucleotides) under Verrucomicrobia bacterium SCGC AAA027-I19. Its description in RNAcentral is "bacterial LSU rRNA". It matches the Rfam family "Bacterial large subunit ribosomal RNA". The record is from RNAcentral. Lineage: Bacteria; Pseudomonadati; Verrucomicrobiota.
UAAAGGGCACACAGUGGAUGCCUUGGUGCUGAAUGGCGAUGAAGGACGUGAUAAGCUGCGAUAAGCUUCGGGGAGUGGCAAAUACACUUUGAUCCGGAGAUUUCCGAAUGGGAUAACCUGGUGUUGGUAAUACAGCAUCGUCUUUUUCUGAAGCCCUUUAAAUAGGGAAGGUAGGAAAAAGUUCGCGAUACCCGCUGAAGUGAAACAUCUCAGUAAGCGGAGGAAAAGAAAGAGAAAUCGAUACCGCAAGUAGUGGCGAGCGAAACCGGUAGAGCCCAAACCAGAGAUAUUUCUCUGGGGUUCGGACCCCGACGUGGGACCAACAAAGAUAGGAGAAGCUUCUGGAAAGAAGCGGCAUAGAGGGUGACACCCCCGUAACCGAAAUCUGAGUUGGCCCUAGGGAGUUCCAGAGUAGCACUGCACACGUGAAACGCAGUGUGAAUAUGUGCGGACCACCGCAUAAGGCUAAAUACAAGUCAGCGACCGAUAGUGAACAAGUACCGCGAGGGAAAGGUGAAAAGAACCGCUGUGAGCGGAGUGAAAUAGAACCUGAAACCGUGUGCCUACAAGGUGUUAGAGCAGCUUCGGCUGUGAUAGCGUGCCUUUUGCUUAAUGAGUCUGCGAGUUAGCAUCUGUGGCAAGCUUAAGGUCUUCCGGACCGUAGGCGAAGCGAAAGCGAGUCCGAAUAGGGCGAUUUAGUGGCAGGUGCUGGACCCGAAGCGGAGGUGAUCUACCCAUGGCCAGGUUGAAGCGUGAGUAAUAUCUCGUGAAGGACCGAACCGGUGAAUGUUGAAAAAUUCUCGGAUGAGCUGUGGGUAGGAGUGAAAGGCUAAUCAAACCCCGUGAUAGCUGGUUCUCCUCGAAAUGCAUUGAGGUGCAGCGUUGUAUGUUUAUGAAUGGGGGUAGAGCACUGAAAAGGCUAGGGGGCAUACCCGUCUACCAAACCUUAUCAAACUCCGAAUACCAUUCAACAGAAUACAGCAGUGAGACGGCGGGGGAUAAGCUUCGUCGUCAAAAGGGAAACAACCCUGAUCAGCAGCUAAGGUGCCAAAAUAACGCUAAGUGGAAAGGAUGUGGAGUUUCAUAGACAGUGAGGAUGUUGGCUUAGAAGCAGCCACCAUUUAAAAAGUGCGUAAUAGCUUACUCAUCGAGAGACUCCGCGCCGAAAAUGAUUGGCGAUAAGCGUUAUACCGAAGCUCUGGGUGUCUAGUUUACUAGGCGCGGUAGAGGAGCAUUCUAGUCAGCAGUGAAGCGCGAUAGCGAUUGACCGUGGAGCGGCUAGAAGAGAGGAUGCAGACAUAAGUAACGAUAAGACCAGUGAAAUCCUGGUCCGCCGUAAACCCAAGGUUUCCAGGGCCACGUUUUUCGUCCCUGGGUUAGUCAGGACCUAAGUCGAGGCCGAAGGGCGUAGACGAUGGACACAAGGUUAAUAUUCCUUGACUUCCGAACCUUAAACCGGAUGGACGCAUGAAUGGAGGGAUCUAAGUAAUUGAAUUCUGAGAGGCGGCUUCGGCCAAAUCGUAAUCCCAAAGUGAGUGCCUAGAAAAGAUCCGGCGUAUGCUAAGGAACCUGUACCGUAAACCGACACAGGUGGGUGGGUAGAGUAUACCAAGGCGCAAGAGUGAACCCUCGUUAAGGAACUCGGCAAAUUAGCCCCGUAACUUCGGGAGAAGGGGUGCCUGUUUUUAACAGGCCGCAGUGAAAUGGCCCAACCGACUGUUUAGCAAAAACACAGCAUUCUGCCAAGACGCAAGUCCAAGUAUAGGAUGUGACACGUGACCAAUGCGGAAAGAUUAAGGUAAGAUGUUAGCGCAAGCGAAGCUUUGAGCCCAAGUCCCCGUGAAUGUCGGCCGUAACUAUAACGGUCCUAAGGUAGCGAAAUUCCUUGUCAGGUAAGUUCUGACCUGCACGAAUCGUGUAACGAGUUGGGCACUGUCUCAACGAGGCGCUCAGUGAAAUUGUAAUGGCGGUGAAGAUGCCGCCUACCCGCAGAAGGACGGAAAGACCCUAUAGACCUUAACUGUAAGCUAUCAUUGGUUUCUCGAUUUUCAUGCUCAGCAUAAGUGGGAGGCGUUGAAGUGGCCCUUUAGGGGGUCGCGGAGCCAUCAGUGAGAUACCACCCUUGGGUGUUGGGAGAUCUAACCUCAGUCCCGUGAAUCCGGGUGAGGAACAGUGUUAGCCGGUCAGUUUUACUGGGGCGGUAUCCUCCUAAAGAGUAACGGAGGAGCGCGAAGGUGGGCUCAAUACGGUUGGUAACCGUAUGUCGAGUGCAUAGGCAUAAGCCCGCCUAACUGUGAGACCUACAAGUCGAGCAGAUGCGAAAGCAGGCCUAAGUGAUCCGGCGGUUGAAAGUGGAAUUGCCGUCGCUCAACGGAUAAAAGGUACCUUAGGGAUAACAGGCUGAUUUCGCCCAAGAGUUCAUAUCGACGGCGAAGUUUGGCACCUCGAUGUCGGCUCGUCGCAUCCUGGGGCUGGAGAAGGUCCCAAGGGUCCGGCUGUUCGCCGGUUAAAGCGGCACGCGAGCUGGGUUCAGAACGUCGCGAGACAGUUCGGUCCUCUAUCCUCUGUGGGCGUAGGAAAAUUGAAGGGUUCAAACUCUAGUACGAGAGGACCGAGUUUGACGCACCUCUGGUGCACCUGUUGUUCUGUCAAGAGCAUAGCAGGGUAGCUACGUGCGGAAGGGAUAAGCGCUGAAAGCAUCUAAGCGCCAAGCCCCUCCUAAGAUGAAUUUUCCCUGAAGGAUCGUGGAAGACUACCACGUUGAUAGGCUGAAAGUGUAAAUGCAGUAAUGUAUGAGCUUAGCAGUACUAAUCAUCCGAUCGGCUUGAUU